Molecule: ribosomal RNA, 253 nt
Filed under: uncultured bacterium
Lineage: Bacteria
Description: partial 16S ribosomal RNA
Rfam family: Bacterial small subunit ribosomal RNA
Source: RNAcentral
UACGUAGGGUGCAAGCGUUGUCCGGAAUUAUUGGGCGUAAAGAGCUCGUAGGCGGUUUGUCGCGUCUGCUGUGAAAACCCGAGGCUCAACCUCGGGCCUGCAGUGGGUACGGGCAGACUAGAGUGCGGUAGGGGAGAUUGGAAUUCCUGGUGUAGCGGUGGAAUGCGCAGAUAUCAGGAGGAACACCAAUGGCGAAGGCAGAUCUCUGGGCCGUAACUGACGCUGAGGAGCGAAAGCAUGGGGAGCAAACGGG